Molecule: ribosomal RNA, 407 nt
Filed under: uncultured bacterium
Lineage: Bacteria
Description: partial 16S ribosomal RNA
Rfam family: Bacterial small subunit ribosomal RNA
Source: RNAcentral
AUUGAACGCUAGCGGGAUGCCUUACACAUGCAAGUCGAACGGAGUGGCGAACGGGUGAGUAAUGUAUCGGAACGUGCCCAGUAGCGGGGGAUAACUACGCGAAAGCGUAGCUAAUACCGCAUACUAUUGGAGCGGCCGAUAUCCGAGUAGCUAGUGGGUGGGGUAACGGCUCACCAAGGCGACGAUCCGUAGCGGGUUUGAGCGGACGACCAGCCACACUGGGACGUAGACACGGCCCAGACUCCUACGGGGGGCAGACGUGGGGAAUGUUGGACAAGGGGGGAAACCCUGAUCCAGCCAUCCCGCGUAGGCGAGGAAGGCCUUCGGGUUGUAAAGCACUUUUGGCAGGAAAGCGGUACCUGCAGAAUAAGCACCGGCUAACUACGUGCCAGCAGCCGCGGUAAUUC